RNAcentral lists this unclassified non-coding RNA (322 nucleotides) under Turnera bahiensis var. bahiensis. RNAcentral describes it as "partial external transcribed spacer". Lineage: Eukaryota; Viridiplantae; Streptophyta; Magnoliopsida; Malpighiales; Passifloraceae. The record is from RNAcentral.
UCAUUCUUUCCGAGGCACAAGGCAACCCGUAGGGACAAUGAAGGGGGACAACCCCCAGCCCGAAUAACUUUCAGCAUCCGAAAGCACCAGCCAAAGACACAUGGGCCAACGCAGCCGUGUAUCGGCGUGCAUGGAACAUGUGCAUCGCUACGAUGUCCACCCCAUGCCAUGUGUGGCAACGGGUAGAGUAGCACAAAGAUCAAAUUCAAUUUCCACCGUAGUGGGUAAGCAACACAGGAACCAAGCAUCACCACGAAACAAUGUUUCGGGUAUUUGAAUCUGAACGGAUCGCUGGAAAACAGUUCGGUGCGCGGAGCAUGGC